This 253-nucleotide ribosomal RNA is filed under the name uncultured bacterium. RNAcentral's name for it is "partial 16S ribosomal RNA". It matches the Rfam family "Bacterial small subunit ribosomal RNA", at positions 524 to 776 of the family's 1533-position model. The record is from RNAcentral.
UACGGAGGGUGCAAGCGUUGUCCGGAAUCACUGGGCGUAAAGGGCGCGUAGGCGGCUCAUGAAGGCUGUGGUGAAAGUCCGGGGCUCAACCUCGGAUCGGCCGUGGCGACUCGUGGGCUGGAGCACUGUAGAGGCGGGUGGAAUUCCGGGUGUAGCGGUGAAAUGCGUAGAUAUUGGGAGGAACACCGGUGGCGAAGGCAGGUCUCUGGGCCGAUACUGACGCUGAGGAGCGAAAGCGUGGGGAGCGAACAGG